GAAGAGGGAAAGAUGCAAGUUAACAGAAAGGACUGCCUGUUUGUGGAGGACUGCAUAAUAAUCCAUCAUCCCUAGAAUUGUUCAAGGAGGAAAAACAUACCACAUACCAGGAAAUGCCUAACUAAUCCUCUGAUUGAAGAACCUCCAGUGAUCAGAAGCUGGUUAAUUCUCUGUGAUCAGUCACCUUUGAUCCCGCUAAUGAAAGUGCAGAUGUAAAAGUGUUUCCAGAGACAAUAUCACUACCAUAUCAUUGGAUGAUGGGAGUGGAAUGAGAGGCUGUGAGAACGGCAUGGCUACUGUGUCACUGUUGCUUAUCCCUCCUCAGGAAUUUGGGCAGUGCUGCUGCCUGCUUCUCUGAAGAGCUUUUUAUAAUUUUAAGAAAGCAAGAUCACCACUACCCUUGGUAAGCAGUCCACCCUCCUCAAAUUUGCACAGGGGCCCCCAUUCCUGUCAAAAUCACCAUCCCAUUUCUGUUGCAGAUUUUAAAAGUGGCAAGAAUGAAGAGGGCAUUUCAACACAGUUCUACAGUCAUCUGAGCAAGUGACCACCACCACCACACCUGAAACCAAGAUGGUUGGGAUGCAGGAAGUUCCAUGCCAAAUGGCAGCUAAGUCAGGAACAUAAUAUGAAUUCAUCCACCCACCAAUUAAGGAUAAUAAGCAUGAACCUAACUAAAGUCCUUCCCACCCCCACAAUCACCAUGAAAUGAUGAAAUGAGACUCAUAAGACUGUCAAGAGAGACCUUUGUAAUACUGUCUCAGUUCCAUAGAAUGCCUUUUCUUAAAAAAAAAAAAAGUUUCAGCUGCGGGGGAGGGGGGAAGAGAAGUAUUACACAGUUCCCUUCCUUAGAAAAGCCACACUAUAUAUUUUUGAAAUGCAGGCAUCUUAAUGCCUCCCGUAGAAAAUUGUCCAUUUUACUGGUAGUGUAUUGCAUUGCUUGAAACAUAUUAAGGUCAUUCGCAUGACCAGUACUAGGUCAGGGAGGGCGAACCUACCUUUCCCCCAGAUGAUUAUUUGUCUUCUGUUUGGUGUGCUGCUUACGUGCCCACCUGAUCCACACUGCUGUGAGCCCGGGAGCAUCUCUGGAGUCCGGGAGCAUGGUGCAUCUCUGGAGUCCGGGAGCAUGGUGCACGUAAGAUUUCCCCUCAUGCCGGGUGCUCUAGGUGCCUAGCUCUGUGUCUACUCAGUUCAUCCUAAGCAUACACAUGACCCUGGACCUAGGUAAAAGCCGGAGGGAAAUUCCCAGGCUAUCCAGGGAUAAGAAUAUAAGAAUAGCCCUGCUGGAUUAGGCACAAGGCCGACCCAGUCCAGCAUCCUGUUUCACACAGUGGCCCACCAGAUGCCUCUGGGGAGCCCACAGGCAAGUGGUAUGUGCAUGCCCUCUCUCCUGCUGGUGCUCCCAGAUGUAGCACUGGGAUUGACCUAGAUCCUGGCAAUUCACAUGAGCAGCCCUAUCCAGGUAGGGCUGCCCAAGCCUGGGUAGGGCUUCUCUUGUCUAGUGUCUAGAUCCUAGUAUACAUUGUUCUUUGUGGAGGAGCAUCAUCACAUCAGGAAGAAAGCAGCUAAGACACAAGCCAGCUGCAACUACUAUUGUAGUCAUAAACUGAAUUCUGGACAGAUGGGUGUUCAGGAAUGCACUACAGCUAAUCUCUUUCCUCCAAGUGCUAUGUUAGUACAUAAGACAUGAAUCCCUUAGAACUAUCAUUCUCCAAACCUUGUUAUCUGAAUUAGGUUUCAUUAAAAAUCCAACAUGGUUCCAUGAAACUCAGCAAGGAAAGAUGAAGAAGCAAAUAUGAACACAUUGGCAAGGCAGCAGCUUUAUCAAAAAAGGGUUAGAACGUAUAACUGCAUAAGAAUUAAGAAUGUGUCAGUAUAACAUGAAACGCCAGUGCUAGGAAAUUAUUUGUUCCAGAAUAAGCUCACUGAAGCAAACCUAGAAAAAUAACUGAAUGAAGUCAGCACUGGAAAGAGGCAACAACUAGAUACAAAGACCCUACCCAGAUCUCUCCUAUGAUGGAAAAUUCAGAUUUUUCCUAUGAUGGAUUUUUUGUUAGUUACCGUAGCAUACACAUGCACACAUACACCACCCCAAUCCUCUGCUAAGAGCAAUUUCAUGCACAUAUUCAUGUUCCACACUUCCAUGUAUGAAGAAGCUUCACACAUGCAUUUCAUAUACUAGGAAACUGAGGCCAUUCACAGCUCUCUGUCUCAUGGUGAAAAUGCUGGAAUACAUGCAUACGAUGACUUCAGCUAUAAAUCAGAGUGCACACUUAAUCUAUGUGGAUAUGUGGAGCAGUUCUAAUUCCCAUAUAAACCUGCCCAUUUCUUAAGGUCAUCAUCAGAAGUCCAGGUCUCCCAGACAUUAGAAGUUAUGUGAAUGUUGAUCAGGGACAGGAUCAUAUCUGUAGUGGUGCCACAUUUGGGGGGCACCUUCAUGAGGCAUGUUGGUGUGGCCCCAAUACUAUUGGUUAUUAGCUGCAAAUUAAAAUGAUUUUAUUUGCUUAGUAAAGAUUACAUAAGUCUCUUUAUAUAUAAUUCGCUAAGACAUACCCAUGGCUAAUCUCAUGUGUGGCAGCUCUCGCGAGAGUUUGCAAGCAGCUGCCAGGAUAGCGAUGGGGAAGAAAAUAGCAAUGGCAGUCACCGGCAGGCUGGAGGAGGCAGCGGGCUGGCAGGCCACUGGGAGGCAGCAGGUGGGAGGAACAUGGCGGCUGGUGGGAGGAACAGCUGCAGGAAGAAGCACAGUGGCCAGAGGCAGGAAGCAGCAGAGGGCAAGAAGAGGAGGUCAACAGUGGGAGGUGACAGCCCGGAUGGCCGGUGGGUGGGAGCCGGUGGCAGGCUGGUGGGCUGAGGUGGACAGCGGGAGGGUGGACAGCCGGGUGGCUGGCUGGCUGGCCCGCAGGGAAAAUAAAUGCCAGCUGUGGGUGGGUGAAGGGUGGGGAGAUAAAAUGUCUGUGGCAAAUUAGAGGGGCAGAUGCUCUGCACCAGCUAGUGAUAAUUAUUCUGUCAAUGAUUGAUGUGCUUGGAUUUUACCAUGAUCUUCCAUGGGAAACUGCCUUGGGGGGCCAAUGAGGUAGACAGGCAAGACAUAGUCAUCCAAAAAAGGUUUACAUGUGGGAUGCAUUACCUGGAGAACAAGUCCUUUCAUAAACAUAAAGAAAAAUAAAUAUGUUAAACAAACAGGUAACUCUUUAGUUGCGAGUUAUAUACAUUUAUAUGUUCUUCUCCCUAAGAUAAAAAAAUAAAAAAUAGGGCCAAUUAGGCACAAAAUUAAAUCAGUAAGUUGGCCCAGUGUUGUUGUUUUUUAACAACUUAAAUAACAGCUAUGCUAUUAAUGGUGAGUUCUCCCCCACCUUUAGGAUUGGAACACAGAAAACAGGGAGGCAAUAUUUUACUGUUUCCCCUCAUUCCAUGGUCCAAACGAAAAUGCCCCCACCAAACUGCUAUAAUCCUCAGAAGGGAAGGUCUCAUUGUUACCAAUAAAAGCUUUCCUGCCAGGGCUAGUAGCAGCUUAGAGGACAUGAUUUUUAUUCAGAUUAGAAUACAGCAUUCAUGUCCUUCCAUGGCUGUUUUAAAAAAAAAUGCAGGGCCCAACUAUGUGUUUAAUGUACUGUGUAGCUUGGCCUUACUGCACUUAUAAUGGUAUCACAGCCAAUUUGGACAAGUAAUUAUGUUCAGUCCAGAUUGAAGAAUUUCAGGACCAUGGAGAGCAGAAACUGAUUUGGAAACUAUUCUUUGGAAGCAUGUUAGUAGAUUUGCAUUUGGGAGUUCUGCCUUCAAACAUUAACAUUCUCUUUCUUAGGGAGGCAAACAUAUCCUUACCCUGGAGGGGACUGUCCUUUGAAGGGGGCAGAGCCAACUAUUCCUUGCAGGUCCUGGUGUUGCAGGUCGGGAGAGAAAGAGAGUGACAAAUCAAACAUUAUAAACACAUGAAUCAUUGUGCUUGAGAUCUACAACAAGAACAGCUGCAUCUGCUUCUCUGGAAAUUAUUUUCACAGCUUGCCUGGCCACCUCCUGCUCAUGUUUCCUCUCAUGCAUUAUGCACCAAAGCUAGUCACCCCCGCAUUUUGCUGGUAGGGUGGCUUGUGUUGCUUUUGCAGCUGCUUUGAUGUCCUCCAAGAGCCCUGGUUUCAUUUUACGUCUGCUUGGCUAAUGUAUCAGUAAGUCACAGCCUGGUAUGUAUGUUUAUUUCCCAUGGAGUAGAAGCCCAUCUUCUAAACAAAGAACAAAUACAGGACAAAUAAGAAGAAAUAUACAUUUUCUAAAAACAUGUUCCAUUAAAAUUGUUGCCUCUGCUUUUUGAUCAGAUCUUGAAAGAACUUCAUUAAUUUUUGCCGUCCUUCUGUGGAGCAGCAGGUGAGAACAGACUGAAUUGAUAAACACUGAUAAAGCACCUAUGGAUAAAGUAAUGUGUUUUAGAAGAAUCCCUUCUACUUGGCCCCUCUCCAGAUGAGACUGACUGUGUCAACAUCCAAGGUGAGGUGGGUGGUAACCACAGAAAGGGCCAUUUUGGUCGUGGUGUCUCAUUUUUGGAACUCCCUCCCUGGAGAGAUAUACCAGGCACCUGCACUGCUCUCCCUUCAGUACCAAAUAACUUUGUAUUCUCCCAGGACUUCUGAUGUUUUAAUUGCACUGCUGUUUUGAAGAGUGGCUGAUGUGAUGCACAGCUAUCACCUUCAUAAUGGACUGCCCUAAGACUACUGCAGACUUUUGAAGCAACAGUUGCAGAAGCUACUGUUGUUUCUGGAGGUUUGCCCAUUCACAACAAUAGAGAGACCUUCAGAAACACAGCUUCAUAGGAACAUGGGAAGCUGCCUUAUUCUGAGUCAGACCAUUCGUCCCUCUAGCUCUCUGUUGUCUACACUGACUAGAAGUAGUUUCUCCAAGGUUUCAGGAAGGGUCUUUGCACCCUCAAGCAAAGCACAACACUAAUAAAAACACCAAACACUGAAUUAGGAGAAACGGCACAACUUUAUUAAAUAAAUUAGAGAAGUGGAUUUUGAAAUGAUUCCACCCCAAUGCAGUGUGAACCUAACCUAGGCUGGUAGUCAGACAAACUGUCCUUUCCCGAGCUUUAGGCAACACACCCUGGCUCAGAGCCUGGACUCAGCACAAUGCUGAUUCCUACUUAUAUUCACCAAUUCCUAAGGAUCAGAAGCCUUUUAUGGACUUCACCCCCCAAGCUUUGCAGCCUUUGAAGUAUGUGAAGUCCUGAAGCAGAUAAGAGUAUAAAUCAUAGUGCCUGAGCUUCAGAGCCUUUAAGGAUCUAUGAAUUACUCACCUGCAUUAACUAGCAUAAGGAUGUUCAUUGAUGAGAACCCCACUAUUUCUGAACCAAACACACACUGCACCUGCUCGCUGGGAUCUAACUAGGCUAACUAGAGAAGGAAAACAGAACAAGGUAGGCAAAAACAAAAACAAAACAAACAAACAAAAAAAAAACCCUUCCACCACAGGCCAAUAAAGUGGGAAACAAAAAAUUCCUACCUGUCCCCCCCCCCAAAAAAAGUGAUCAGCGAAGCCCCCUCUAUCCCCAGGAAAAAGGGGGAGAGCCCACCCAAAUGAAGACUGAGCCUGGGAGGAGAGUGUUGGCUCAACAGCCACUCAAACCACACCCCUCCCAGGGCUUAGCCAAUCAAAAUAACCUCAUGCCUCCCAAAUAUGAAGGUGAGGCAAAUCGCCACCCCCAGCACAAGGCUAGGAGGUGGCCAUAUUCACAGCCCUACCUAGAAAUGCCAGGGAGUGAAUGUGGGACCUUCUGAAUGCAAAGCAGAUGGUCUACACCUGCCUUUGGAGUCUGCAGCAGCCUCAGCCAGGGGGAGGGACCAUUGUGGAGGUGGUACGUUGUGUGUCACAUCAGCCACUCCUUUUAAUACCGUUGUGAUAGUUUUAUGCUUUAACUUGUAAACCGCCUUGAGAAACCUGUUAAAGGGAACCUAAAAACAACAUAAACAAACAGAUAUAUGCGAGCCAGCAUAGUGUAGUGGUUAGAGUGUUGGACUAAGACCGGGAAGGCCCAAAUUUGAAUCCCCAUUCAGCCAUGCAACUCACUGGGUGACUCUGGGCCAGUCAUGUAUCUCUCAGUCUAACCUACCUAACAGGGUUGUUGUGAGGAUAAACAUAAACAUAACUAUGUACACUGCUCUGAGCUCCUCAGAGGAAAAGCAGGAUAUAAAUGUAAAUAAAUAAAUAAUAAAUGUCGAUAUUUUCUGAUGUUUUAGCCCACAUACAGUGUGGGUAUGUGCCUCAAGGCAGAGCCCUUCACUUUUAAGAACCCCGAACA
Hemicordylus capensis (graceful crag lizard) is the source of this 6280-nucleotide long non-coding RNA. RefSeq lists it as uncharacterized. The record is from RefSeq and is a predicted model, not a curated record. The transcript is spliced from 4 exons. NCBI's taxonomy places the organism in Eukaryota, Metazoa, Chordata, Lepidosauria, Squamata, Cordylidae.